This 484-nucleotide ribosomal RNA is filed under the name uncultured bacterium. RNAcentral's name for it is "partial 16S ribosomal RNA". It matches the Rfam family "Bacterial small subunit ribosomal RNA", at positions 29 to 507 of the family's 1533-position model. The record is from RNAcentral.
AUUGAACGCUGGCGGCAUGCUUUACACAUGCAAGUCGAACGGCAGCGCGGGCUUCGGCCUGGCGGCGAGUGGCGAACGGGUGAGUAAUACAUCGGAACGUGCCCAGUAGUGGGGGAUAGCUCGGCGAAAGCCGGAUUAAUACCGUAUACGACCUGAGGGUGAAGGCGGGGGAUCUUCGGACCUCGCGCUAUUGGAGCGGCCGAUGGCAGAUUAGCUAGUUGGUGGGGUAAAGGCCUACCAAGGCGACGAUCUGUAGCUGGUCUGAGAGGACGACCAGCCACACUGGGACUGAGACACGGCCCAGACUCCUACGGGAGGCAGCAGUGGGGAAUUUUGGACAAUGGGCGAAAGCCUGAUCCAGCAAUGCCGCGUGUGUGAUGAAGGCCUUCGGGUUGUAAAGCACUUUUGGCGGGAACGAAAAGGACUGUGCAAAUACCACGGUUCGAUGACGGUACCCGCAGAAUAAGCACCGGCUAACUACGUG